RNAcentral lists this ribosomal RNA (433 nucleotides) under uncultured bacterium. RNAcentral's name for it is "partial 16S ribosomal RNA". It matches the Rfam family "Bacterial small subunit ribosomal RNA", at positions 29 to 507 of the family's 1533-position model. The record is from RNAcentral.
AACGAACGCUGGCGGCAUGCCUAACACAUGCAAGUCGAACGAGACCUUCGGGUCUAGUGGCGCACGGGUGCGUAACGCGUGGGAACCUGCCCUUAGGUUCGGAAUAACUCCCCGAAAGGGGUGCUAAUACCGGAUAAUGUCUUCGGACCAAAGAUUUAUCGCCUUUGGAUGGGCCCGCGUUGGAUUAGCUAGUUGGUAGGGUAAAAGCCUACCAAGGCGACGAUCCAUAGCUGGUCUGAGAGGAUGAUCAGCCACACUGGGACUGAGACACGGCCCAGACUCUUACGGGAGGAAGAAGUGGGGAAUAUUGGACAAUGGGCGAAAGCCUGAUCAAGCAAUGCCGGGUGAGUGAUGAAGGCCUUAGGGUUGUAAAGCUCUUUUACCCGGGAUGAUAAUGACAGUACCGGGAGAAUAAGCUCCGGCUAACUCCGUG